AGAGUUUGAUCCUGGCUCAGAAUGAACGUUGGCGGCGUGGAUUAGGCAUGCAAGUCGAGCGAGAACCCGCAAGGGGGACAGCGGCAAACGGGGUAGGAAUGGUCGGUAACGUACCCUUCGGACGGGGAUAGCCACGGGAAACUGUGGGUAAUACCCGAUAACCUCCUUUCUUGUAACGGAGAGAGGAGCAAAGGUGAGAUUCCACCGGAGGAGCGGCUGACUUAGUAUUAGCUAGUUGGUGAGGUAAAAGCUUACCAAGGCAUCGAUGCUUAGGGGGUGUGAGAGCAUGGCCCCCACCACUGGGACUGAGAUACUGCCCAGACACCUACGGGUGGCUGCAGUCGAGGAUCUUCGGCAAUGGGCGCAAGCCUGACCGAGCGACGCCGCGUGUGGGAUGAAGGCCCUUGGGUUGUAAACCACUGUCAGGGGGGACGAAAUGCGCGCGGGUACUCCCGUGCGUUUGACAGAGCCCCAGAGGAAGCACGGGCUAAGUUCGUGCCAGCAGCCGCGGUAAU
Molecule: ribosomal RNA, 515 nt
Filed under: uncultured bacterium
Lineage: Bacteria
Description: bacterial SSU rRNA
Rfam family: Bacterial small subunit ribosomal RNA
Source: RNAcentral